RNAcentral lists this ribosomal RNA (464 nucleotides) under uncultured bacterium. Its description in RNAcentral is "partial 16S ribosomal RNA". It matches the Rfam family "Bacterial small subunit ribosomal RNA", at positions 339 to 795 of the family's 1533-position model. The record is from RNAcentral.
CUACGGGGUGCUGCAGUUAGGGAUAUUCGGCAAUGGGGGAAACCCUGACCGAGCAAUGCCGCGUGAAUGAAGAAGUAUUUCGAUAUGUAAAGUUCUGUUGUUAAGGAAGAAAGGUACGAAUAGGAAAUGAUUCGUAAUUGACGGUACUUAACCAGAAAGCCCCUGCUAACUACGUGCCAGCAGCAGCGGUAAUACGUAGGGGGCGAGCGUUAUCCGGAAUUAUUGGGCGUAAAGGGUGCGUAGGCGGCCUGUCAAGUCCGAGUUGAAAGCCCACGGCUUAACCGUGGAGGGUGCUCGGAAACUGAUAGGCUUGAAUCCAGAAGAGGCAAGUGGAAUUCUAUGUGGAGCGGUGGAAUGCGUAGAUAUAUGGAGGAACACCAGUGGCGAAGGCGGCUUGCUGGGCUGGUAUUGACGCUGAUGCACGAAAGCGUGGGGAGCAAACAGGAUUAGAUACCCCGGUAGUC